GUCUUGAGUCAAUCAGUACAUCUGUACCACAUUCAUGUGGCAAAUGCUGCUUUAUGGAGAUGUUUCUAAUACUGACCUACAAUAAUUCAGCCAAGAUCACGUUUCUACUGUCUUCAGGAAAUGAGAAAAAUGAAUCCAGGAAAUUUCCAUCUUUAACUAUACUCUGUAAAUGUGCUGUCCAAUACACAGAUAGCUACUGAGCACUGGAAUAUAGCUAGUCUGAAUGGAGAUGUUCUGUUUGACUUUUUUGGACUCCACAUGUGUGAGAUCAUGCAAUAUUUGUCUUUCUGUGCCUGGCUUAUUUCACUUAGCGUAAUGUCCUCCAGGCUCAUCCAGGUUGUUGCAAAAGGCAG
RNAcentral lists this long non-coding RNA (353 nucleotides) under Homo sapiens (human). Its description in RNAcentral is "non-protein coding lnc-NRIP1-2:7". The record is from RNAcentral. Lineage: Eukaryota; Metazoa; Chordata; Mammalia; Primates; Hominidae.